AAAUCCUAGGGACGCAGCAGUGAGGAAUAUUGGUCAAUGGGCGGUAGCCUGAACCAGCCAAGUAGCGUGAAGGAUGAAGGUUCUAUGGAUUGUAAACUUCUUUUAUAAAGGAAUAAAGUGAGGCACGUGUGCCUUUUUGUAUGUACUUUAUGAAUAAGGAUCGGCUAACUCCGUGCCAGCAGCCGCGGUAAUACGUAGGAUCCGAGCGUUAUCCGGAUUUAUUGGGUUUAAAGGGAGCGUAGAUGGGUUGUUAAGUCAGUUGUGAAAGUUUGCGGCUCAACCGUAAAAUUGCAAUUGAUACUGGC
This 305-nucleotide ribosomal RNA is filed under the name uncultured bacterium. RNAcentral describes it as "bacterial SSU rRNA". It matches the Rfam family "Bacterial small subunit ribosomal RNA", at positions 334 to 637 of the family's 1533-position model. The record is from RNAcentral.